Rattus norvegicus (Norway rat) is the source of this 3493-nucleotide non-coding RNA. NCBI's taxonomy places the organism in Eukaryota, Metazoa, Chordata, Mammalia, Rodentia, Muridae. The record is from RefSeq and is a predicted model, not a curated record.
AGUAGAUGACAUGGUUUUCAGGUGGCUAAAAUCUAAACAUAAUCUAGGGAUAGAAUCGUAACUCUUUUAGUUAGGAAUGAUUUAAUCGGCAAAUUUAAUAGACUAGAUGUCGUGUGUAUGUCAUAUUGUGUAAUUUGCAUGAUUGUUAUGGCUUUGUUCAAUAUAUAUCUUGGAGAAGAGGUUUUGUUUUGUUUUUAUGGAUAGAAAAGGUGAGGUGUAUGGGGAGGUUCUGAUGCAAAGGUCCUGUUCCCCAAUUGGUUCUUGGUUUGUCAGUAAAGAAGGCUGGGAGCCAAUUGCUGGGGAGACAGUACAGGCGGGACUUCCGGGUCCCAGAGGGAAAAGGAGAGGCAGGGAAGGAGAGUUUUACCACACUUGGGAACGAGAAGAACACAGCAACCAUAUAAGGCCUGAGGUGGAGGGGUAGCUAGGACCUGUGGCCUUUGUUACAGAUGGCUGGCCCAGUAUGUUUGGCAGGGGCUAGGUGGGACUAGCCACUAAGUUUAGAGCAGGUGAGGAGAUGGAGAUAACAAAUUUUUCAGGCAGGAGAUAGUAACACCCAGCAAUUGUGCUCAGGAGGCAGGUUGUAAAGUAACAAACUGUGUAUGUGUGUCUUCUAUCCUUGGAUUCAAGGGUCUAGGGAGUGGGCUGAUAGCACAGUCACCUCCCAGAGACAAAGGUGGGAAGAACCAAAGGAAAUCGGUGAGGGACACAGGCAAAGGUGGUAGCAUUUAAAACUACACGCAACAUAGGUCAGUCACUCUGAUGUCAGGAAUGGAUAUACUCAACCCAUAGCUGACACAGAGUUGCCCCUCACAGAGAGGUGCACAGGGCUGGAAGAAGUACAUGUCCUGUACGGAUAGGCCCCACAUCACACACUAAAAGAUCAUCAUCCCUUCUAUGGAACCUAGGACCUCAAUUCCCAGGAACAAGCAAAUCAUCCCUGAAGUGGAUUAGCCAAGAAACAGGCUGACUGCUGGGCCACCAUGCUGGCUCCCUCUGGACUUCCAUUUCGGGCAUGCUUCCACACGGCCACGUGAUGAGCAGGAGCCCAGGAUUUAGCAGAUACAAAGGACUGGAGCACCUGGAAUCACCUGAUUUAAACUCUGUGGCCUUUGAAGCUAACCUAAGACUGACAGGGGCCCAGGAUGAAGUUGGAACAAAUCCUUCCCAACACUCUUGAUCAGCUUGUUAGCUGCAGAAGGCCAGGCCACAGAAGAAAUUUGCCUUCUAGAAAGAGCUACAAGAGUAUCACUGUGUGCCAACAGCUCACAGAAGACGACAGGCUCCGCCCCACACCCACCUGCAUUUAACCAUCCCUUGAGCCAGAUUGCCUGAUGGUCUUUCAGCAGAGAGCCUGGUCACCGCUGGAGUUUCCUCCUGCCUGCAGGGGGCACUGUGGUACCCAUGAUCCCUGAUUCUCUAACUCCCUUCCACAGAGGGAAUUGAUACACGCUCUUAUUUGGCUGGAACUAACAUUAAAAUGUUGUUGGUUCAAUGGCUGAGCUCCAGACAAUUGGCUACAACUCAGUUCCUGUGCUUUUUUGUAGCUCACCGCCACCUGGCUCUACCUAGAUUCUACACCCGAUGACUGUGUCAGCAAACCUCUGUGGGCUCAAGAACACUCUCGUUCCUGUGGGAGAUGUAUACAUGCCACCCUGGGUCUAUGGUUGUAGAAUAGCAGUAUCUAUGAUGCCCGGGUGCUUUCUAGAAAGGCAGACUCAAUCUACAUUGUGUGGAACAUUGAACCUGUUGACUUUGGGAAGCAAUUCAGGAAGGGAGGUCCUCGUGCCUGUUUCCUUGAGAUACUGAUGGUUCUCUACACAGCAAAGGCAAACAUCCUUGAUUGGGACCCAAUGGCAUUUGACUGGCACUUGAGCUGUGUGUGAGACCUGAAGAGCUUUAAAGAACUGAACUGAAAGAUGCCCUAGGGGUCUCCUUGUCAAGCACAUCUUCAUGAGGUCGGCUUCUUGCUCCACUGUGGAUUCCUACUGAUCACCGGAGGCCCCACAACAACAGUACCACCCACCACCCAGAACCUCCAAAACUGUGAGUCACAAGAGACCUUCUGUCCUCUUACGUUGACCUUAGGUGUUUCGUUAUAGCAACAGAAACCUGACUAGCCCACUUGUUAUCUUUUUCUACUCGAGUAUUUGUUUCCAGGCGGAUGCUCACAGACAUGUCUGGAAGGAAGCAGACAUUUGCUCUGUCUGGAUGUAUGACUCUUUAUGUGCCUUAGCGCCCAUCUUACGUUAAGUCAGUAUGUUAGCGAUGCUACUCUUGAGUAAAAGUGAGAAAGCUGAGACUUAGCGAGCCAAGGGUAAACCCAACAUGACACUAGCUGUCAGCGAAUGUGGGUUCCAACCUCAUGAUGUACACACAGAGAUAACGUGUGGGAUGUCGUAGAUCACCAUCGAGUCUCUUUACAGUUAAAGAACCUGAGAGAGAAAGGAUAUAUAUCUACUCCAAGGAAUAGAGUCCAUCUGAUCCUAAUGCCUCAUUGGACAUUUUCCUUUGGCAAAAGCGAAUCUCGGAACCAUCUAUAAGAUGAAAAUCUACCUGACAUUUAAUAUCUUUCUGAGUAUAUCCAAGACUGCAUCCUGAGUGCAUCAAAAUGUGCAAAUUGUGGCUUGGGGAAUGAGGAAACCAGGGUGCGAUGGAGUGAGCGCCUGGUGUUUUCAUGAAUAUGAAGAGUCAAGAAGAGUCGAUAGAAAGUCUGCUUUGGGGGCAGAGGGAGGCAUGGCCUCACAAAGGCCUUCUUUCUUACCAUGGGUGUCGAGCUGCCUGCUCACAGGUGUAUCUUUUAUUUGGGUCUUUCUCCAUCAGAUUCCGAAUGAAGUCUUUUGCUGUUCGAAAAGAAAGCAGGGGAAAACGGAAUCACUUUGAGGUUUGAAAUACGAUGACUGGACACCCUUGUGUUUUAAGCUUGUGUUCCAUUAAAAAUACGAGAUGGGCUUUUUACUAUCACUCUUGUACCUUGAACACAAAAGUCACUCAGAUAAAAGCAGAGCCCCGGCUGGCACUCCACGGGGGACCCAGUGAACCAGGGGGUGGCAGAGCCGGGCUGGGACCCUGACUUCUGGUUCUUUUUUUUUUUUUUCUUCUUCUUUUUUCUUUUUUUCAGAGCUGGGGACGGAACCCAGGGCCUUGCGCUCGCUAGGCAAGCGCUCUACCGCUGAGCUAAAUCUCCAACCCCCUGACUUCUGGUUCUAAGUUCUUUUCUGUUAGCUACUAAGGGUGCCUUUGGUUUAGAGAAUAAAGGAAGUAAUCUUCAUAACUGCAUGCCUCUCCCGUUCACCACUGCCUUAGAGAGACGCUUUGGGGACAUCCCCUGAAUGUGUGAUAGACAUCACUGGUUCCAGUAAGCUCACUGAGGAGCUGUAAAGCCACCAGGUCAUGGUACUAUGUGUUGGGAACACCCAGAGGAGCAUCUGCAUUACACUUUGAGCUGUUACCCCAGAGAGUUAGAAGUGAGAGAGCAACAGCUAGAUGUAUC